GAGAUACGUUGGGUGAUCGCCCCGCCAUAAUGCGCAAGCUUUAGGCGCGGGAGGAAAGUCCGAACACCAAUUUAAAAUGGCAAUGGCUAACGGCCAUGCUUUGCCAUAAUAAGCAAAGACGGAAAGUGCCACAGAGACAAUACUAACCGCGAUUAAUAUCGAGGUGAAAGGUGAAAAGUGUCCUUCAAAAGGAUUCGCUCCGGACGCAAGGUCGGAGCGUGGAAAACCCUGCCUGGUGCAAGGCCGUGCUCUCUCGAUAUAUCGACAUUUCGAAAUUUCGAGUGGGAGUGCCGCUUCAGUUUCUACCGUAAGAUAGAUUCGAGAUAAAUGAUCACACAGUCCGACUUAGGUCGGACGGACAGAAUUCGGCUUAUAGACGUAUCCAUAAA
Candidatus Giovannonibacteria bacterium RIFCSPLOWO2_12_43_8 is the source of this 389-nucleotide non-coding RNA. NCBI's taxonomy places the organism in Bacteria, Candidatus Giovannoniibacteriota. The record is from Rfam.